RNAcentral lists this ribosomal RNA (513 nucleotides) under uncultured bacterium. RNAcentral describes it as "partial 16S ribosomal RNA". It matches the Rfam family "Bacterial small subunit ribosomal RNA", at positions 28 to 523 of the family's 1533-position model. The record is from RNAcentral.
GACGAACGCUGGCGGCAUGCCUAAUACAUGCAAGUCGAGCGAACAGAUGAAGUGCUUGCACUUCUGACGUUAGCGGCGAACGGGUGAGUAACACGUAAGGAAUCUACCUAUAAGCGGGGGAUAACAUUCGGAAACGGGUGCUAAUACCGCAUAAUAUCUUCUUCCGCAUGGAAGAAGAUUGAAAGACGGCUCUGCUGUCACUUAUAGAUGACCUUGCGGUGCAUUAGAUAGUUGGUGGGGUAACGGCCUACCAAGACGAUGAUGCAUAGCCGACCUGAGAGGGUGAUCGGCCACAUUGGGACUGAGACACGGCCCAAACUCCUACGGGAGGCAGCAGUAGGGAAUCUUCCGCAAUGGGCGAAAGCCUGACGGAGCAGUGCCGCGUGAGUGAAGAAGGCCUUCGGGUCGUAAAACUCUGUUAUAAGAGAAGAACAAAUUGUAGAGUAACUGCUACAGUCUUGACGGUAUCUUAUCAGAAAGCCACGGCUAACUACGUGCCAGCCGCCGCCGUAA